CAAUAGCGUAUAUUAACUUUGUUGCAGUUAAAAGGCUCGUAGUCGAAUUUAUGUCUAUGUAAUUUGAAUUCGAUAUCAAGUAUGUCGAUAUUUGUAAUUACUGGUCAUCCUUCUGGAAAGCAUUGCUGACCUUUACUGGUUUGGCAUUUGUAAUCCAGAUCAUUUACUGUGAGUAAAUCAAAGUGUUCAAAGCAGGCUUGUGAAGCUUGUAUGCUCUAGCAUGGAAUAAUAAGAUAGGACUUGGGUUCUAUUUUGUUGGCUUCGGAACCAAGUAAUGAUCGAUAGGGAUAGUUGGGGGUGCUAGUAUUCAAUGGUCAGCGGUGAAAUGCAUAGACCCAUUGAAGACUAACUUAUGCGAAAGCAUUCACCAAGGAUAUCUUCUUUG
RNAcentral lists this ribosomal RNA (385 nucleotides) under uncultured eukaryote. RNAcentral describes it as "partial 18S ribosomal RNA". It matches the Rfam family "Eukaryotic small subunit ribosomal RNA", at positions 592 to 975 of the family's 1831-position model. The record is from RNAcentral.